RNAcentral lists this transfer RNA (77 nucleotides) under Alphaproteobacteria bacterium. Its description in RNAcentral is "tRNA-Val". It matches the Rfam family "tRNA". Rfam says of the family: Transfer RNA (tRNA) molecules are approximately 80 nucleotides in length. Their secondary structure includes four short double-helical elements and three loops (D, anti-codon, and T loops). The record is from RNAcentral. Lineage: Bacteria; Pseudomonadati; Pseudomonadota; Alphaproteobacteria.
GGGUGCAUAGCUCAGUUGGCUAGAGCGCUACCUCGACAUGGUAGAAGUCUGGGGUUCGAGUCCCUAUGUACCCACCA